CGCUACUAGAUCGCGACCGACCCAUGGUCCGGUCGCGACCGGAUCGCGACGCACCCGUGGUCAGGUCGCGACACGAUCACGACUUAACCACGGGUAAGUCGCGAUCCGGUUACGACUUCACCACGGGUGAGUCGCGAUCUGGUCGCGACCUAACCACGGGUCGCUCGCGAUCGUGUCGCG
This 180-nucleotide microRNA precursor is filed under the name Corchorus capsularis. RNAcentral's name for it is "pre miRNA MIR811". The record is from RNAcentral. Lineage: Eukaryota; Viridiplantae; Streptophyta; Magnoliopsida; Malvales; Malvaceae.